This 393-nucleotide ribosomal RNA is filed under the name uncultured bacterium. RNAcentral describes it as "bacterial SSU rRNA". It matches the Rfam family "Bacterial small subunit ribosomal RNA", at positions 28 to 417 of the family's 1533-position model. The record is from RNAcentral.
GAUGAACGCUGGCGGCAGGCCUAACACAUGCAAGUCGAACGGCAGCACAGCAGUAGCAAUACUGUGGGUGGCGAGUGGCGGACGGGUGAGGAAUACAUCGGAAUCUGCCUAGUCGUGGGGGAUAACGUAGGGAAACUUACGCUAAUACCGCAUACGACCUACGGGUGAAAGCGGGGGAUCGCAAGACCUCGCGCGAUUAGAUGAGCCGAUGUCCGAUUAGCUAGUUGGCGGGGUAAUGGCCCACCAAGGCGACGAUCGGUAGCUGGUCUGAGAGGAUGAUCAGCCACACUGGAACUGAGACACGGUCCAGACUCCUACGGGAGGCAGCAGUGGGGAAUAUUGGACAAUGGGCGCAAGCCUGAUCCAGCCAUGCCGCGUGGGUGAAGAAGGCCU